Molecule: ribosomal RNA, 468 nt
Filed under: uncultured bacterium
Lineage: Bacteria
Description: partial 16S ribosomal RNA
Rfam family: Bacterial small subunit ribosomal RNA
Source: RNAcentral
GACGAACGCUGGCGGCGUGCUUAACACAUGCAAGUCGAACGGUGAAAGAAGAGCUUGCUCUUCUGGAUCAGUGGCGAACGGGUGAGUAACACGUGAGUAACCUGCCCCAGACUCUGGAAUAAGCGCUGGAAACGGCGUCUAAUACCGGAUACGUGACAGAGCUGCAUGGCUACUGUCUGGAAAGUUUUUCGGUCUGGGAUGGACUCGCGGCCUAUCAGCUUGUUGGUGAGGUAACGGCUCACCAAGGCAACGACGGGUAGCCGGCCUGAGAGGGCGACCGGCCACACUGGGACUGAGACACGGCCCAGACUCCUACGGGAGGCAGCAGUGGGGAAUAUUGCACAAUGGGCGAAAGCCUGAUGCAGCGACGCCGCGUGAGGGAUGACGGCCUUCGGGUUGUAAACCUCUUUCAGCAGGGAAGAAGCGAAAGUGACGGUACCUGCAGAAGAAGCACCGGCUAACUACGUG